RNAcentral lists this ribosomal RNA (532 nucleotides) under Limosilactobacillus fermentum. Its description in RNAcentral is "bacterial SSU rRNA". It matches the Rfam family "Bacterial small subunit ribosomal RNA", at positions 29 to 517 of the family's 1533-position model. The record is from RNAcentral. Lineage: Bacteria; Bacillati; Bacillota; Bacilli; Lactobacillales; Lactobacillaceae.
AUGAACGCCGGCGGUGUGCCUAAUACAUGCAAGUCGAACGCGUUGGCCCAAUUGAUUGAUGGUGCUUGCACCUGAUUGAUUUUGGUCGCCAACGAGUGGCGGACGGGUGAGUAACACGUAGGUAACCUGCCCAGAAGCGGGGGACAACAUUUGGAAACAGAUGCUAAUACCGCAUAACAACGUUGUUCGCAUGAACAACGCUUAAAAGAUGGCUUCUCGCUAUCACUUCUGGAUGGACCUGCGGUGCAUUAGCUUGUUGGUGGGGUAAUGGCCUACCAAGGCGAUGAUGCAUAGCCGAGUUGAGAGACUGAUCGGCCACAAUGGGACUGAGACACGGCCCAUACUCCUACGGGAGGCAGCAGUAGGGAAUCUUCCACAAUGGGCGCAAGCCUGAUGGAGCAACACCGCGUGAGUGAAGAAGGGUUUCGGCUCGUAAAGCUCUGUUGUUAAAGAAGAACACGUAUGAGAGUAACUGUUCAUACGUUGACGGUAUUUAACCAGAAAGUCACGGCUAACUACGUGCCAGCAGCCG